Molecule: long non-coding RNA, 279 nt
Filed under: Parus major (Great Tit)
Lineage: Eukaryota; Metazoa; Chordata; Aves; Passeriformes; Paridae
Description: lncRNA (ENSPMJG00000016183.1)
Source: RNAcentral
UUUAAGAAAAAGAUACCAUGAACAGAAUGGAGUCACAGCCUUAAAUAAUUUUAAAUUUGGACCACUCUUUAUGAGGCUGUGUUAUGAGCUAGACCUUGAAAGACCUGCAGCAGAACUUAUCAAAGAUCAGGUGCUUUGGAAGUUUUGGUAGAAAUGAAAAAACAAGGUAUACCUUUCAACAAAGAAACCUAUCUACUUGCAGUUGCAAUAUGCUAUAAACUGAGGUAUUUUUGAUGUCAACUCUGCUGUGGUGGUGCAGGUGGCAGGAGUGCCACGACC